Molecule: ribosomal RNA, 43 nt
Filed under: Begonia chitoensis
Lineage: Eukaryota; Viridiplantae; Streptophyta; Magnoliopsida; Cucurbitales; Begoniaceae
Description: partial 28S ribosomal RNA
Source: RNAcentral
GCAACCUCAGGUGAGGUCGGAUUACCCGCUGAGUUUAAGCAUA